This 381-nucleotide long non-coding RNA is filed under the name Selaginella moellendorffii. Its description in RNAcentral is "long non-coding RNA (SMOE_LNC002318)". The record is from RNAcentral. Lineage: Eukaryota; Viridiplantae; Streptophyta; Lycopodiopsida; Selaginellales; Selaginellaceae.
ACGCAGUUCAAAAGCACCUAAUUCUUUGAUGUGAAAUUACCAAGUCGUUUGGUCAUGUGUAUAGCUCUCAGAAAAUUGUGGCAAUCCUUUGGGUGAAGAAAUAAUUCCAAGCUUUGAGCCCUUUUGUUGUCGUCAUGUCGUAAAGGAUGAAAUAAAAAGUGAUGUCAGGCUACCACGGGCAGCACCAAUUCGCGUGGUCUUGUAGAACAGCUUUUCACACUCGUCCUCUUUGGAGGUUAAAAUAUGUUCAUAUUGCAAGGGAACACACAAGAGUAAAUGGGAAGGAAAUGAAACAAUAAAAAAACUUCAAGCAUACCUGGCCUGGAGUUAAUGUCUCACCCAUUUAUUUUAACAGGAGAGAAUGGGCUCCCACUCGUGAAA